UGCUGGAGGUAUCAGAAGUGCGAAUGCUGACAUAAGUAACGAUAAAGCGGGUGAAAAGCCCGCUCGCCGGAAGACCAAGGGUUCCUGUCCAACGUUAAUCGGGGCAGGGUGAGUCGACCCCUAAGGCGAGGCCGAAAGGCGUAGUCGAUGGGAAACAGGUUAAUAUUCCUGUACUUGGUGUUACUGCGAAGGGGGGACGGAGAAGGCUAUGUUAGCCGGGCGACGGUUGUCCCGGUUUAAGCAUGUAGGCUGGUUGUCCAGGCAAAUCCGGAUAAUCAAGGCUGAGGUGUGAUGACGAGGCACUACGGUGCUGAAGUAACAAAUGCCCUGCUUCCAGGAAAAGCCUCUAAGCAUCAGGUAACAUCAAAUCGUACCCCAAACCGACACAGGUGGUCAGGUAGAGAAUACCAAGGCGCUUGAGAGAACUCGGGUGAAGGAACUAGGCAAAAUGGUGCCGUAACUUCGGGAGAAGGCACGCUGGUGUGUAGGUGAAGUCCCUGCGGAUGGAGCUGAGACCAGUCGAAGAUACCAGCUGGCUGCAACUGUUUAUUAAAAACACAGCACUGUGCAAACACGAAAGUGGACGUAUACGGUGUGACGCCUGCCCGGUGCCGGAAGGUUAAUUGAUGGGGUUAUCCGUAAGGAGAAGCUCUUGAUCGAAGCCCCGGUAAACGGCGGCCGUAACUAUAACGGUCCUAAGGUAGCGAAAUUCCUUGUCGGGUAAGUUCCGACCUGCACGAAUGGCGUAAUGAUGGCCAGGCUGUCUCCACCCGAGACUCAGUGAAAUUGAACUCGCUGUGAAGAUGCAGUGUACCCGCGGCAAGACGGAAAGACCCCGUGAACCUUUACUAUAGCUUGACACUGAACAUUGAGCCUUGAUGUGUAGGAUAGGUGGGAGGCUUUGAAGCGUGGACGCCAGUCUGCGUGGAGCCAACCUUGAAAUACCACCCUUUAAUGUUUGAUGUUCUAACGUUGGCCCCUGACCGGGGUUGCGGACAGUGUCUGGUGGGUAGUUUGACUGGGGCGGUCUCCUCCCAAAGCGUAACGGAGGAGCACGAAGGUUAGCUAAUCCUGGUCGGACAUCAGGAGGUUAGUGCAAUGGCAUAAGCUAGCUUGACUGCGAGCGUGACGGCGCGAGCAGGUGCGAAAGCAGGUCAUAGUGAUCCGGUGGUUCUGAAUGGAAGGGCCAUCGCUCAACGGAUAAAAGGUACUCCGGGGAUAACAGGCUGAUACCGCCCAAGAGUUCAUAUCGACGGCGGUGUUUGGCACCUCGAUGUCGGCUCAUCACAUCCUGGGGCUGAAGUAGGUCCCAAGGGUAUGGCUGUUCGCCAUUUAAAGUGGUACGCGAGCUGGGUUUAGAACGUCGUGAGACAGUUCGGUCCCUAUCUGCCGUGGGCGCUGGAGAAUUGAGGGGGGCUGCUCCUAGUACGAGAGGACCGGAGUGGACGCAUCACUGGUGUUCGGGUUGUCAUGCCAAUGGCACUGCCCGGUAGCUAAAUGCGGAAGAGAUAAGUGCUGAAAGCAUCUAAGCACGAAACUUGCCCCGAGAUGAGUUCUCCCUGAGACUUUAAGUCUCCUGAAGGAACGUUAAAGACGAUGACGUUGAUAGGCCGGGUGUGUAAGCGCAGCGAUGCGUUGAGCUAACCGGUACUAAUGAACCGUGAGGCUUAACCUUACAACGCCGAAG
RNAcentral lists this ribosomal RNA (1687 nucleotides) under Klebsiella pneumoniae. Its description in RNAcentral is "partial 23S ribosomal RNA". It matches the Rfam family "Bacterial large subunit ribosomal RNA", at positions 1271 to 2925 of the family's 2925-position model. RNAcentral also lists the same sequence under 1 other name. Lineage: Bacteria; Pseudomonadati; Pseudomonadota; Gammaproteobacteria; Enterobacterales; Enterobacteriaceae. The record is from RNAcentral.